This is a long non-coding RNA of Thamnophis sirtalis, 2884 nucleotides long. RefSeq lists it as uncharacterized. The record is from RefSeq and is a predicted model, not a curated record. Lineage: Eukaryota; Metazoa; Chordata; Lepidosauria; Squamata; Natricidae.
CUUAUAAUGUAACCCUAUAUAAAUAAUUAAAAAUAUGCUUAUUUGUCUAAGUGGGGCAUAAGCCUGUAAAGCAUUGUAAUCUUAGCUGUUGGAAAAAUGCUUUGGAUAUUAAAUGAGGCUUGCUUCAAAAUUAAAUGGAUAUAGAACCGGGGAACUAGAUUCUAUAGAGACAAAAUCCAAGAAGUCCAAAAGGAAUUUUUAAAAAGUUGCAAAGAAAACAUUGUUUUUCUCUUUUAAUAGCUUUGCUCUGCCAAUUUAGUUUCAGUUUGGUUCUUAUUUUGGACCACAGUUAAGAGGAAAGUUACCUUGCACAGGUAACCCUGUCCAAAUGAAGGUUGCAAGUUUUCCAAGAAUAUUGAGAGGAAGAAAUGAAUGCUUCCCUAAGCCUCCUCUUUGGAAAAAAAAACCAAUACAAUUCAUAGGGAAGAAGCCCCCACACUGAAGAAUUAUUUUCAAUGAUGUUUAAUGGAUAAAUUCUAAAAGUGCUGUUGAUAGAAAAAGAAACUUGCAAUGAACUCUGAAUCUAUCAACAAAGGUGAAUGUCUGCUUGUAUGCAUCAAUAGAAGACCUAAUCAAUAAACUAGGAAGUAUGUGAAAUAGUAUAUAUCUCAUUUCUAUGUUGCAUUUCUGUAACAGUAGUGCUAAUUUAGCAGGGUAUUGGAGAUCAACCAAGCUAAUAAAGAAGUAUGCACCUAUAACACAAAGGAAGAUGAUAAUGAUUUUACAGAUUUUGUUACAGUUUGCAGAAAAGUACUUCAGCAGCAAAGUUAUUAUAGUGUCCGAUCAAUAAAUAAACCAAUAAUUAACACAAAUAGGGAAAUGUUAUGAUUUAAUGAAGCAGGAUGGCCAGCAGAUACAUAUAGGUUAGAAUAAACCCCAGUGAGUCUUUUUAUGGGAAAGUAGAGGGAGAGAAAGGAGGCAAGGUCAAUUCCUCGAGGAAAAUGAUAUCAGAAGGAAAAACUGAUACAAAGGAAUGGGGGGGGGUUUGUAGAUUUAUAGGUGGGGGAUGGUUGUGUUGGAAAGAACAGAAAAGAGGAAGGACUGACCUCUCUGCAUCCCUACCAGGGCUGUUUGUGUUAUUCACCUUGCUGCCUCAUUUUGUGCUAAGCACUGUGCAUUUUCUGCACCUUCUGUAGCUUUUCAGAAUUUGCCUAGCUUCCAUCGCAAAAAUAUUUUGGCCAUAAUCCAGCAGAUAAUUUUUUGCCCUAAGCCCAGGAAAUGAACCAAACCAAUGUGUGUUUUCACUUGGAAGUCAAAUCUAAGGAAAUGAGAAAAAAAACUCUUUGAAGUAUUUUCUAAAGUUUUCCAGGCUUGAUGAGGUUGUAUUUCCAUUUGCUGCAAGAACCUCAGAAGGAAAAACAGGUUUCAACCCUCAUUUACAUCACCCCAAUUCUUCUAGAGCCCAUUCACACAUCCCCUGCUCCCAAACCCUGAAAGUGGACUUGAUCCGUGUAUUAUGCAAGAAUUCCUGUGGAAUUAGAAAGGGCGAUUAGUCAAUUCACAUUACUUUGUAGAAACUUGCACUUUUUAAAUAGACCUAAAUUAUUAUUGUACAAACAAGAUUGAACCAUACUGGAGUAAGUCUCAUAAAGCUGCUUCUAAGUAGACAUGCAGAGGAUUGCCCCGUAAAUCGCUUUUAUUUCACAGUCCUUUCUUUAUUUUUCUGUUAGUUCCCUUCUUUUAUACCUUACUUGCAUAUUCACAAAUCAAAAUAUUACCUUGAAAUAAUAAGGUGGGAAAGAAGAUACUUUCUUGUCAUUAUUCCUGGUUAAUGGAAGUCAACAGAUUGACCGAAUGGCCUAAUCUAGAGGCUUGUCCUAGCAGACAAGACUAAAAGAUCAUCAUUCAGGCAAUAGGUGAGCAAAGCAAAUCGGGGCUCUGGCAGAGCCUCCACUGAACCUCCGAACCUUGCCUGCCAGCUUUCUCCUUCUUCCUUCCAGUGGUUGCUUGGCCCGACUUUCUACACUUGGCCUUGCUCAUGGUGUUAUGGUUACUGUUGGUGAUGGUGGCAACAUACUUCCCAUUGAAGGACUCCACCCAGUCUGACUUUCACCUUUUCACAUUUGAGCUCUUUGAGGAAUGGCCAGCUCCUUGAGUCAGCCAGCAAGCUGAAAUGUCACUGACGGGUUCUGCCACUUUCUCAGCUGGACCAGCCUCACUCUGGGACUUCUGCAUUUCAAAGAGGGCCACCUUCACUCAAAGUUUUUGAGCUCUUACCCGUUUCCCUCUGCAUUAACUGCCAGGGAUUGUUUUGGCUGGAGAUUUCAAGGAAUAACCAUUGUCUACCAAUGGCACCUGGAGAAGCCGCUCCGCAGCAGUCCCCCUCCCUCCCACCCCAUUUCUUUCAACAGAGCCAAGGAAAGGAAAGCAAGCCAGGAGAAAAUUCGCCAGCAACAUUCGGGAGGAUUGGGGUUGUGCUAGUCCAGUGAAUCAGGCCUACGACAACUGCCUGCAUUCACAAGGCAUAUGUAUGCAUUGAUUGUUCAGGAGGAAAUCCUAGCAAAUUUAAGGAAUCUUUCUGUCAGGGAAGAAAAAAGUGAAAGAAUCAACCCAACUGAGAAGCAAGGGAAAGCCAUAGCAUUUCUACUUCUACAACCAUCAUUGUGAUUCUUAUUUCCACAUCUGAUGAUGACAAAGUAAUAUCCAGAACUGCAAAUUCUAUGAAAACACUUACAGAAAAGUAAGACCAUAGUACUUCGAGGUCAUUGCUUUGGAAUGAACAAGUCGACAUAGAAUCCAGCUUCUUCGCUUCACGGGACACAAUUUUAAGAGAAGACAUUUGACAUUGUCCCUGCCAACUUUCAUUCUUAAAACCCGAGCAAUAUGCAGUUUCAAAAGAACAACCCAUGCUUUAAAAUAAUUAUAUAUAUAUAUAUAUAUUAUU